UCAAAUUUGAAAUCUGGCCUCUCGGGGUCCGAGUUGUAAUUUGUAGAGGAUGUUUCGGGUACCGCCUCGGUUUAAAUUUCUUGGAACAGAAUGUCAAAGAGGGUGAGAAUCCCGUCUUGGACCGGUGGUAGGGCCUAUGUGAAACUCCUUCGACGAGUCGAGUUGUUUGGGAAUGCAGCUCAAAAUGGGUGGUAAAUUUCAUCUAAAGCUAAAUAUUGGCCAGAGACCGAUAGCGCACAAGUAGAGUGAUCGAAAGAUGAAAAGCACUUUGAAAAGAGAGUUAAACAGUAUGUGAAAUUGUUGAAAGGGAAGCGCUUGCAACCAGACUUGAGCGCGGCGGUUCCCCCUUGCUUCUGCUUGGGUUACUCCGCCGUGUCCAGGCCAACAUCGGUUCUGGGGGUCGGUCAAAGGCUCUGGGAAUGUAUCUACCCACGGGUAGACUUAUAGACCAGGGUGUCAUGCGACCUCCCGGGACCGAGGAACGCGCUUCGGCUCGGAUGUUGGCGUAAUGGUUGUCAGCGACCCGUCUUGAAACACGGACCAAGGAGUCUAACAUCUAUGCGAGUGUUUGGGUGUCAAACCCGGAACGCGGAAUGAAAGUGAACGGAGGUAGGAAGCUUCGGCUGCACUAUCGACCGAUCCUGAAGUUUACGGAUGGAUUUGAGUAAGAGCAUAGCUGUUGGGACCCGAAAGAUGGUGAAC
RNAcentral lists this ribosomal RNA (702 nucleotides) under Fonsecaea minima. RNAcentral describes it as "eukaryotic LSU rRNA". It matches the Rfam family "Eukaryotic large subunit ribosomal RNA", at positions 109 to 831 of the family's 3401-position model. The record is from RNAcentral. Lineage: Eukaryota; Fungi; Ascomycota; Eurotiomycetes; Chaetothyriales; Herpotrichiellaceae.